Molecule: ribosomal RNA, 440 nt
Filed under: uncultured Bacteroides sp.
Lineage: Bacteria; Pseudomonadati; Bacteroidota; Bacteroidia; Bacteroidales; Bacteroidaceae
Description: bacterial SSU rRNA
Rfam family: Bacterial small subunit ribosomal RNA
Source: RNAcentral
CCUACGGGAGGCAGCAGUGAGGAAUAUUGGUCAAUGGGCGAGAGCCUGAACCAGCCAAGUAGCGUGAAGGAUGAAGGUCCUACGGAUUGUAAACUUCUUUUAUACGGGAAUAAAGUAUCCUACGUGUAGGAUUUUGUAUGUACCGUAUGAAUAAGCAUCGGCUAACUCCGUGCCAGCAGCCGCGGUAAUACGGAGGAUGCGAGCGUUAUCCGGAUUUAUUGGGUUUAAAGGGAGCGCAGACGGGAGAUUAAGUCAGUUGUGAAAGUUUGCGGCUCAACCGUAAAAUUGCAGUUGAUACUGGUUUCCUUGAGUGCAGUUGAGGCAGGCGGAAUUCGUGGUGUAGCGGUGAAAUGCUUAGAUAUCACGAAGAACCCCGAUUGCGAAGGCAGCUUGCUAAACUGUAACUGACGUUCAUGCUCGAAAGUGUGGGUAUCAAACAG